RNAcentral lists this long non-coding RNA (594 nucleotides) under Cricetulus griseus (Chinese hamster). Its description in RNAcentral is "lncRNA (ENSCGRG00015029997.1)". Lineage: Eukaryota; Metazoa; Chordata; Mammalia; Rodentia; Cricetidae. The record is from RNAcentral.
GUACAGACUGCUGCCACGCCGGCUGGCUAGGUCACUCUGAAAUGGACAAUCAGAAUGAUCACCACAUAAAAGCAGGUGACUUGAGCGUGGAGGAGACAAAGGUAUGAAUAGGGAGCUUCCUACAAGUUGUAGGGUACCACAUACCUCACCCUGAAGCAAACCUUUGCUACAAAUUGGAAGCCAACCUACUUAAGAGCCUUCAUCCAGCAGCUGAUGGAAGUAGAAGCAGACACCCACAGCUAAACACUGAACUGAACUCUGGAAUCCAUUUGCAGAGAAGGAGGAGUGAUGAGCAAAGUGGACAAGACCAGGCUGGAGAAACCCACAGAAACAGCUGACCCAAACAAGGGGGAGCUCAUUCCUGAUUGCUAGGAAACCAGAAUAGGACUGAUCCAGAUCCCCUGAAUGUGGGUGUCAGUGAGAAGGCCUCAGCAAUCUAUGGGGCCUCUGGUAGUAGGUCAGUAUUUAUCCCUAGCAUAGGAAUGGACUUUGGAAGCCCAUUCCACACAGAGGGAUACUCUCUCAGCCUAGACACACGGGGGAGGGCCUAGGCCCUGGUCCAAAGGCUAUGACAGACUCUGAAGGUCCCCCAUG